Molecule: long non-coding RNA, 573 nt
Filed under: Androctonus crassicauda
Lineage: Eukaryota; Metazoa; Arthropoda; Arachnida; Scorpiones; Buthidae
Source: RNAcentral
GGAAAAUCUGCUUUUGCUCUGUCCAUAUCUGAGUUUGGGAUUAUGAUAUUAUCUCUUACUUCAACAGAGGGUGAGUGGCAUCAGAGAUAUUUUUCAUUUGCUUGACUUGUUUAUACAAAUUUUCAUGAGCUUCUCUCUUGGCUGAUGUGAUGUAAACUCCACGAAGACUAGCGUCAUGUUCUUCAGCAGGCAUCUUAGCUUCAUUCUGUCAUGCAUUCAUCUCCUCGAUGACUCUCUGGAAUUUGUCCUCAUCUUCAGUGUUUUCAAGAACAUCUGAUGGCAAUGCUGAAGUCAAGUCCUACUCUUGGGUCUAUCCUGAACAUUGCUUGAUAGUGCAACUGUUUUAUUUUAGAAUGAAAAGCUUAGUUUUUCAUAAACUGACAAAUCAAAGAUUGUUUGGCCAGUUCAUUGUGUUAUCUUGCAUCCAUGAGGCAAGCAUUUUUUCAAUAUCUUGAUUGGCUCGCUCCACUGAUCCCCGACUUAGAUUUUGUGCCUUGAUCUGAGUUAUGAACAAAAUCUAUAUGUAAAUUAUGUUCAUAACUAGUGAUCGGCAAAUGAUACUUUAGUUCGAAC